GAAGGUAGUAUAUUACAAUUUUUCCAGUCUAUUACAAAGCAGAUAUGUCUAUUAUUACAAUAUAUAAUAUGCAAUAUUACAAUAUAUAAUAUGCAUUCUUGGAUAAGUAGAGCUUCACACAAUUGGCUUCAAGGCUUCGCACUUCAACUUUCUUAGGCCUGGAGGUCCUGUAGAAGAAACAACCAUAUUUGUAAGAGCUACAAGAUACAGAUCAAGAAUAGAAACAAGGCACAAAGACAAGCAAUCCUUGGCGGAAACCUUGAGGCGACAAAUGUUUCUGAACUCAAAUGAGAGAAGUUUGAGUCUAGCCAAUUAAACCAACUACCACUGAUGUAACCUAUAAAGAUGGACUGAACAAUAACAAUACAAAAAAUGACAGCUGAAUUAUGAAGAGUCCUAAAAUUGACCCCUUUUGGCCUUAAUUAAUUGUGUGAAGCUGAAAUGAUUAAUCUAAAGUAAGAUAUACCGGUAUGUAGGCAAGAAAUGUAGUUGAAUGACCCAUAUUUGAAUAACUCAAAAAAGAAGGCAGCAUCAAAUACUAUAGUAAUUAUUAUUGGACAUGAUAUAGUAAGGUACUCUCACUGGGUAAGGUACUCUGCAGUACACGUACGUCGUACCAAAGUAUGCGUCGAGACAGUAAGCAGACACUAUUAGAUAGUCUUGUACGCACAUUUUUCCACAUGUAUUUAUAAUAAUUAUUUUUUAGUAAUAUAUGUUGCCAAUGCUAUGUAUCACUAAUUCAGUCCAGCUAAACCGACAAAUGCUACGGGCAGAAGUCCCAUCAGCAUGACAAAUACCCCCCUAAGUCUGAACAACUAGUCCUCGCUUGCGACUACCCAGAUGAUACAAUAAAACCCAUGCGAUUUAGUAUGAUAACAAAGUGCUGGUUUGGCCGCCAACUCAAAACAGCAAUUAAUUUGUACACUCUGUGACACGCAAGUGAAAGGCCACUAACAGAUGCUCUAUCUAACAGUACCUCGGUGAUGACACACUCUGGAGCCAAGUUCCUGAAAUGCACAAACAAUAGUGUAUGGAAAUCUGAGUUCAAAUGCUACAGGAGUAACCAGUUUUUUCAAUGUGUAAAUCAUGUGUUGAACAAAGCAGAAUAAUCAUAAACAAACAGAACUACUUCAGAUCCCAUUGCAAUGUCUAACAAGUAGAUUAGAAGUAUCUCUGCUACUGUACUAACCUCAAAUGAGAGGCCAACCUAUUGCUUUAAGUUAAGCCAAAUGUGAGCUAGUAGUGAGUGCCAAGUGCCAUCCAGAUUGGAAACUACUGUAAUGACAUUCAUCUACAAUGGAAACUGAUACAUUUUGGCAUCAAGAUUUCUUCUUGCCAAAAUAUGACAACAAGCACUGCCAAGACAUGAUCCCCACAUUUUUCACUCGCAGCAAAAGUGCAAAGCAUGAUAUCACACCAAAUAGACAAAUCAAGAAAUGCCUCCUAUCAAGUGCAAAGCAUGCUAUCACACCAGAAAGAUUUGGCAACAAAUCACAAGAGAGCGAGCGAGCAGUAAGAUCAUACCCGUUCCUUCCUAUGCAUCGCCUCUCCCGCGCGCAACAAGUUGAACUGCGCAAGAGGAAACGAAGAAACGCUCAGGAACGCACUCCAGGCCAGACGAGUUGGGCGCCUCCCUCAUCUCCGCCACCGCGGGUCCGGCUCCAUUGGAGGGGGCGUAGGAGCGCUCAUGGGCCGGUUCUUGGUCGCGGCCGUCCUCGCCCGGUUCUGCUGCUCCUGAACCGGACGGUUCCAUCACGAAUCUGCUAGCAGCAAGUAACAAAAUAACUCAGUUCAGAUCAUAGCAAGAAACUUAACUCAGUUCAGAUCAUACUUAUCGGAAAACAGUAGCAGAUUGGCUAUCAGAAGAAUUCAGAAGUUCAGUACAGAAUACAUUACUGAAGCUUAACUCAAUUCUUAACAGAGAUAAUAAAGAUGCAUCACAAGAAACUGCUUAAGCUUGCAUGCCAUGAUUAAGAAAACAUAUGCAGCAACAGCUAUAAGAACAGAAUCCAACAACGAAUGACUGAAGUCUGAAAGGAUCCUUAUUAUUUAGAACAAGAUUACAACAGCACAUAGCAUCUGAGAACGAAAUGUGGCUUACAGUAACAAGUAGCACGGCAAGCUUUCUCAAGAGAUCACAAGCAUAUAACGGCAAAAAGGGCUAGAUUCCAAAAAUAAAUUUCUAAACGCAGGACAAAAUAUUGCACAACAAAAUCUCUAUCAGAAAAAUUUCUACAUGGAGAU
RNAcentral lists this long non-coding RNA (2244 nucleotides) under Hordeum vulgare. RNAcentral describes it as "long non-coding RNA (HVUL_LNC001118)". Lineage: Eukaryota; Viridiplantae; Streptophyta; Magnoliopsida; Poales; Poaceae. The record is from RNAcentral.